UACUAAAUUUAUCUGGAUGGAAAUCAAAGUCUAUCUAUAUAUAUUAUAAUAAAAAGACAUUCUUUCAUUCCUCAUCGAGCCACAUGUGAUUUCACGUAGGAAAGUCGCUUCUCUAGAAGAUGACAUGUGUCCUGUGAAGUCAUUAUCAUUUAUUUUGUGUGAAAUACAUGUGAGCUUCUGUGUGUAAACGGGCUUUAUGUUUUGCUAAAUAGAACCAUCCCGGUAAAGAGCAACAUCAAGUGUCUUGAAACGCGACGUUUUGAUUUUAGGGUUGAACCCGACAUUCAUCUCCGACAUAUGAGAUCUAAAGACAGCAUAUGGUUUCGAUGGCAUUGUUUCAUCUUCUUCCUAACAAUCCAAAGCUACCAGUUACAGAUUCAUCCUCUUAAUGUCUUACUUUAAUCCAUCACCCUCGAUCUCCCUUCAAUGAGAUCUUCACUCUUGCAAGGCGGUAGAACUGAGAGUAUAAAAGAUCCACCAUACUGAUGGUCCUGGAACGGAAAGCUACAGCUCGAUAUAUUGUGUGAUGGGAAACCAAAGUUAUCAACUUUAAGAAAUGGAGGCGAUGAUGGCGUUGCAGAAACUCCGCCGUGGAAUCUGAGGACGAGGCAAGCUGCUUGUAACGAACUUGGAGAUGAGCAGACAAGUAUCAUUGGCGUUAACAGAGGUAGAAACGAAGGGUGUGGUGAUGGAGAUUCUCAGAAACUGAAAUUCUCUGUUUCUUUGUUGAUGGAAGAAAUCGAAAAGUAUUUCACAGCCUUUGUUGAGAAAAACUUCCCCCAAGACCAAAGAAGAGACCAAGAAUUCUUCAAAAUCGAAUGAAUGUAAGUUCUCAGCUUUUUUUUUCUUAGCAUUUUCAUUCUUGGUUGCUGGAAGUAACAACAUGCUCUUAUGAGUUAUGACGUCCCUGAGGCUGCGGAAACAUGAUCAAGGUGUGAUUCUUUGGUUCCUUCAGUUUAGAGUCCACAAAAUUCAUGUUCUAUCAAUUUUAUGUUCUACUUUUGAAUCUUUUCAGUUGUAAAAAGAAAGAACAAAUAUAGCAACAUGCCAAAUUUUAGUGAAUGAAGCUUUUUUUACUUAUGUUUCUUAAUAUUCUUCUCUUUGUUUUUUGUAAAAGAGACGAGUGAAGUUUUUGUUACCAGAGCUAAUUGUAAUCUCCAACUAUUUUUAAUCAAUAAUGCAGUUCUCUGCAACUUUCUUACAUCUUUGUUUCUUAUUUUAUUUCUGGUUGGCUACUAUAUAUGUUACAUUAUGCACAGUUUUAUUGUGGUGUCCAAAAGAUGACAUCUACGAGUUUAGCUCUGGUUCAUGAAGAGAUUCUGAUGGUCAUAUCGGUCAAGAGGAGGAACACAACUUGGGGAUCUUUCAGUGUUAAGAGAAGCUUUCAGUGUUACUGCAUCAGUAUACUACUUCAAAAACUGAAAUAUGGGUGACUGAUAAUAAUGAGGAGACCAAUGCAGUGUCAUGGAGCACUGAAUUUGGGCUAUGAUCUUCAAAUUUCGAUUCUUCCUGGAUCCAGAGAAGGGAGGAGAAAGAUGUAGUAUGUUAUGAGAGAUGGAAUGACUAUGUCUAUGUGUCUAUUUUCGUCUAUGAUCAGUCUGUAUGAUGUGGAAAGACUAAUCUUGAAGCAAUGGCUAUCAUCAAAUAAUUAAAUCUCAGAUUAUCCAAGGUGUAUUGUAAUGGUCUCCAUAUUCUAUUUCAAGUAGCAUAAUUAAUAAAAUUCAAUUAAUUCCUCUUCUACGGCAAUUAUGAAGUCGGGUUUUCAAACUAACUAACAAAACGUAAAUAGUAGUCAAGGAAAUUUUUUUGAACCAAAAUAAUACAUUGAAAUUCUUCAUUUAGUUCCACAAACACGAGAACUCUACAUCGUAAAUCCUACAACUGCAGCAUAUAUAUACAAAGAUCAUGUCUCAAUCAAACAUGGAGUCAGCACAGACAACUAACUCACAACCUCACAAAUAAUAUUAACAAAGUACCAUAUCUAAUAUUACAUAAAUAAUACUAUAAUUAAUUAUACAUUUUAAUUCAAAUAAAUUUGAACAGUAAUCUAUGGUAAAAUGUAGUAAAUUUAUGAUCAAAACAAUGAAUUUUAAGAAAUUAAAAUUUAUAUUAUGAAAAUUAACCAGAAACAUUUUUGGUCAACUAAUCAGUAACAUUUAUUUCAAAAAUUAUAAUCGUUUAUAUAAGAAACAUGGUUUACUUGAUUUUCAAAUAUAGUAAAUAUAAAAAGUUAUAGCAAACAUGUAUAUUUUUUAUUUUCUUGGUCAAAUAUAUUAAUUAAAUAGUUAAUAUUACAUAAAUAAUUUUAUAAUUAAUUAUACAUUUUAAAUCAAACAAAAUUUCAACAAUGAUCUACUGUAACAACUAAAUUUAGUAUAAACAUAAGAUAAUCAACUAAAGUAUAUAAAAUUUAACAAAAAAUCUGUGAAUUUAUUUACAAGUUUUUUUCUUUUCUAUUAACAAGAAUAAAAAAAAAAGAAAA
Long non-coding RNA from Brassica napus (rape), 2482 nucleotides. RefSeq lists it as uncharacterized. The record is from RefSeq and is a predicted model, not a curated record. The transcript has 3 exons. NCBI's taxonomy places the organism in Eukaryota, Viridiplantae, Streptophyta, Magnoliopsida, Brassicales, Brassicaceae.